UCACCAAAACGCCGUUACAGUUCUCCUUUCAUUUCCAAAUCUCCGACCGUUCCCGUCCCGCCACAUAACCGCACCACCGCCGAGCCUCGUCGGCUCAUCCCCUCACUCUAAUUUAAUCUCACCCGCAGAAAAAUCACAGCUUCCGUGCUACCGUCAUUUGUAGUUCCGAUUGCACCAUGGAGGCGGAGAAAGCCACAGACGUGUCAGACAUUUAGAACGAGGACGACCUCGACGAGUAGCCCGACGAGGUGAUCGAAUCAGCGCCACCUCUCAAAGUCGGCGAAGAGAGAGAGCUCGGUAGCUCUGGCCUCAAGAAGAAGCUUCUCAAGCGCGGCCAUGGCUACGAAACCCCCGAGCUCGGUGAGGGUGGAGUGGUGAAGGGUUUGGACCAUGGCGUGGUCUCUACGAAGAAGGGAGAGUUUGUAUUGUUCACAUUGCCUGCUGAGCUGGGCUAUGGUGUUGUUUGUGGGGGUGGCUCUGUUGUGCCGUCCAAUGCUGUUGAGCAAAGAUGGUGGGAUUGUGAAGAAGAUUAUCGAGAAAGGAGAAAGGAAUGAGCAGGCUGGUGAUUUGGAUGAAGUUCUUGUCAAGUAUCGGGUGGCGUUGUUGCAGAGACACCAGAAGAAGGAAUUGAAUUCUAUGUGAAAGAUGGCCAUUUUUGUUCAGCAUUGCCAAAAGCAAUCAAGACAAUGAAAAGGGCAGAUUAAUUGUUCAACCU
Prunus mume (Japanese apricot) is the source of this 715-nucleotide non-coding RNA. The record is from RefSeq and is a predicted model, not a curated record. NCBI's taxonomy places the organism in Eukaryota, Viridiplantae, Streptophyta, Magnoliopsida, Rosales, Rosaceae.